CUAGCCCAAACCACCACAAGCAGUAUGCAGACCAUUGGAAUUCUGGAGAAAAAUAAAUUAUGUUUGGGACCAUUUUUCCACUUGCAAAACAAUAAUAAACAAGGCACUAAACAAAAUGUCAGGGAGCAGCCACCGUUUGAAGCGCAUUGCAACAAGGAGUGGAGCAUAGAACAUAGAGUCUUCUACCAGGGGAAAGACUAACAAGCAAAACACUGUACAGAAACAGUUUAAAGAAAUUGUUAUGGGUAACCAUGUUGGUUGAAUCAGAAAGUCUGCGAGAGUCUUUAGACCACAGCUGAGGAGCUCCUUCAGCAAGAACUAUGCAGCUGAGGCAUGCACCCA
Long non-coding RNA from Lepidothrix coronata (blue-crowned manakin), 342 nucleotides. RefSeq lists it as uncharacterized. The record is from RefSeq and is a predicted model, not a curated record. The transcript has 3 exons. Lineage: Eukaryota; Metazoa; Chordata; Aves; Passeriformes; Pipridae.